The sequence is a ribosomal RNA, 434 nucleotides long. It matches the Rfam family "Bacterial small subunit ribosomal RNA", at positions 341 to 792 of the family's 1533-position model.
ACGGGAGGCAGCAGUGGGGAAUAUUAGGCAAUGGGGGAAACCCUGACCUAGCAACGCCGCGUGAAGGAUGAAGGUUUUCGGAUUGUAAACUUCUUUGGCAGGGGACGAUAAUGACGGUACCCUGAGAACAAGCCACGGCUAACUACGUGCCAGCAGCCGCGGUAAUACGUAGGUGGCAAGCGUUAUCCGGAUUUACUGGGUGUAAAGGGCGCGUAGGCGGGGAUGCAAGUCAGAUGUGAAAUCUAUGGGCUUAACUCAUAAACUGCAUUUGAAACUGUAUCUCUUGAGUGCUGGAGAGGUAGACGGAAUUCCUAGUGUAGCGGUGAAAUGCGUAGAUAUUAGGAAGAACACCAGUGGCGAAGGCGGUCUACUGGACAGUAACUGACGCUGAGGCGCGAAAGCGUGGGGAGCAAACAGGAUUAGAUACCCUGGUA